Molecule: ribosomal RNA, 2877 nt
Filed under: Liriodendron chinense
Lineage: Eukaryota; Viridiplantae; Streptophyta; Magnoliopsida; Magnoliales; Magnoliaceae
Description: bacterial LSU rRNA
Rfam family: Bacterial large subunit ribosomal RNA (bases 1963-2877)
Source: RNAcentral
AGGAUAGAACAUGUUCGGUGCCUCGCCCUUGUCUCCUUCGCCUGAUACUGCAAAUGAUGGGAAUCCUAUCGAUGAAGAAGAGGCAUAGGCAUCGCCUCUCGAUCCAAUCCGUCUUCCCUGGCCUCCCCAACAAACUCUUGAUACGAAAUCAACCUCCCGCCAUAGAGAAGAGAUCUAAAGUCUUGGUCCCCUCGAUCACCCUUCCUUGAACCUGAACUGGUCGAGAGAGAUGAACCCGCACCACAUUUUAUAACCUUCGAACCGAAACCCCCAAAACGAGAUGGAAUUCCAGAACCUAAACAACUCAGUUGAGAGCUCCGUGACCGGUUCAAGUCCAGGUCCACCAAUGAUUUAUAGGCCAUUCCCCCCCCCCCCCCUCAGAUCCCCCCCUCCGUUGUUACUGAUUCAUUCAAGGCAUAGACUCCUUUGUCUUUGUCUUAUUAGCGCAGGUGUUCGUCAACGAUGAAAGCCGCUGAACUUCAAACUCGAGUGGAGAAAGAGGGCUAGGCCCAGGAGGGCUUUCAGGGACUGGGGAAGACGGGUUGAUUAUAGAGCUAGGGGCAGAUCGAAGUAAUGUCCAUUGGGCAUUCCCGAGCCUCGACUGGGCCAGCCGACAUGAAAAACUUCUCCCAUCGCAUCAUUAACCGGUGUAGGAUUAAAGAUCAGGUCCAGGAUUCGAGUCAAACAUCGACCUUCCCUCUCAUCUCAGGGUGAGGCAAGGAAUUCAAUCAAAUGUUCGUUGUUCAAUAUCUCGGCUGCUCAAGAAGUUGGACUAGCUGCUCCGCCUAUUACGUAAGGGCCCGGAGUUGAUUCUAGGGGAAGGGCAGAGCCUCACCUUGCUUUAGGAAGGUGUUCGUUGCUGGGACGGGUUAAAAAAUAUCUGGACCGAAGGGACGGGAGGAGGAAUUCAAUACUCCGAUCUUCCUUGGGAUUCAUCACUGGCUAGGGGUUUCGAAUCAAAGCAUGGGCAUCUGCAACUAAGAGGGAGCAGUAGAUCGUCGAUUGAAGAGCCAGGUCAGUCAACUUCUAUAGAAUGGGACUUCUAUUGAUUAUUGAUUCGACUAGAGGGACUCCUAGCAGCAAACGUCGGCGGAAGGGGCCCCCAUGGAGACGCAGGAGAUGCAGGAGCCGCCAGCCGGGUCGACCAAUGAAUGAUAGGCCGGAGGGAGGGGCUCAUUCGACUAAUCAGUGAUCCCUGGGCCUACCUAACACAGAUGUCCCUGAAAUAGGGGAUUGGUUGAUCGGAAAGCUCAGGCAGGAGUAGGACAUUCCAUACAAAUCUUUCUCCGCUAGCAGGUGGUCCUCUCAAAUCAAAUUUAUUCAUCGACAGGUAGGCUUAAUUCUGACGGUUCCUUAUUCCGGUUGUAAAGCGGAAGAAGCCAUUCUCCCUGCCCCACCAGCAGCCCGCGUUUCCGACCCGAAAGGAAGUCAAGCGCUUUAAACGACGAAUCUGUGUUCACUAUCUAUGGAGUGGAGUGACUAUCCUUAAUCUCCUCUUCCCUAUCUCCCCCCUUUUUGCCUGAUUUUAUUUUCCUUUCUCGCCGGCAGGAGAAUCCAUUUCUUGUAUUGUUUAUUAUGAUGGGUCUGUAGUUCAAGGGCACUCUUCCUAAUCCGAUAAUGAGAUGGGAUAAGACCCAGACGUAGAGUCCCGUCGGCCGGGAAGGUAUUUUUUCUAUGGAUUUUUGACUUCCUUCUGGCCUUUACUACUCCUAUUAGUAGUUCAGUCUCUUUCCCCCCGAGGGAAAGCCCUUUCAAGAUGGAGUAGUUCAUCUGUGUCUUGAAAGCCCGCCCUAAAGAUAGGAGUUCCUAUCUCUACUGCCUAUCCGACGGCCCGAUCGAUAGUUAUUCGUGGUGGAGUGCUUCGAAUAGGAUCCCACAUCCCAUCCCAGCAGUCAAACUCCUUCCUGACCCGGCUCACCUGCCUCUGAAGCUGGAAUGACUGCCUACCCGAGGAAUCGAAAGGUUGGAAGUGGGAUGUGGAAUGUGAUUGGUGAUGGAUGGUGGUUAUGAAAUCGGUUCGGGAUCAUCUCGCAUCUAGAUCUGUAUCUGCACCUAGCUCUGCUGUUGAGGCAGAAGGGAACCUUGUGUUAGGACCUACGGGCCAAGGGACAGUCUCAGGUAGACAGUUUCUAUGGGGCAUAGGCCUCCCAAAAGGUCAUGGAGGCGUGCAAAGGUUUCCUCGGGCCGGACGGAGAUGGGCCCUCGAGUGCAAAGGCAGAAGGGAGCUUGAUUGCAAGACCCACCCGUCGAGCAGGGACGAAAGUCGGCCUUAGUGAUCUGACGGUGCCGAGUGGAAGGGCCGUCGCUCAACAGAUAAAAGUGACUCUAGGGAUAAUAGGCUGAUCUUCCCCAAGAGUUCACAUCGACGGGAAGGUUUGGCACCUCGAUGUCGGCUCUUCGCCACCUGGGGCUAUAGUAUGUUCCAAGGGUUGGGCUGUUCGCCCAUUAAAGCGGUAUGUGAGUUGGGUUCAGAACGUCGUGAGACAGUUCGGUCCAUAUCCGGUGUGGGCGUUAGAGCAUUGAGAGGACCUUUCCCUAGUACGAGAGGAUCGGGAAGGACGCACCUCUGGUGUACCAGUUAUCAUGCCCACGGUAAACACUGGGUAGCCAAGUGCGGAGCGGAUAACUGCUGAAAGCAUCUAAGUAGUAAGCCCACCCCAAGAUGAGUACUCUCCUAUUCCAACUUCCCCAGAGCCUCCGGUAGCACAGCCGAGACAGCGACGGGUUCUCUGCCCCUACGGGGAUGGAGCGACAGAAGUCUUGAGAAUCCAAGAUAAGGUCACGGCGAGACGAGCCGUUUAUCAUUACGAUAGGUGUCAAGUGGAAGUGCAGUGAUGUAUGCAGCUGAGGCAUCCUAACAGACCGAGAGAUUUGAAC